AGCGGGUGGCGUGCAGGGCACAAACGGGACUUGAAAUCCCGGCUACUGGCGAAACCGGUAAGAGUUCGAUUCUUUCACCCGCUACCA
RNAcentral lists this transfer RNA (87 nucleotides) under compost metagenome. Its description in RNAcentral is "tRNA-Ser". The record is from RNAcentral.